Molecule: transfer RNA, 73 nt
Filed under: Felis catus (domestic cat)
Lineage: Eukaryota; Metazoa; Chordata; Mammalia; Carnivora; Felidae
Also listed under: 3 other names
Rfam family: tRNA
About the family: Transfer RNA (tRNA) molecules are approximately 80 nucleotides in length. Their secondary structure includes four short double-helical elements and three loops (D, anti-codon, and T loops).
Source: Rfam by way of RNAcentral
GCCUGGCUAGCGCAGUUGGCAGAGCACGUGACUUUUGAUCUCAGAGUUGUGGGUUCAAGCCCCAUGUUGGGCG